Long non-coding RNA from Culex quinquefasciatus (southern house mosquito), 1634 nucleotides. RefSeq lists it as uncharacterized. The record is from RefSeq and is a predicted model, not a curated record. The transcript has 2 exons. NCBI's taxonomy places the organism in Eukaryota, Metazoa, Arthropoda, Insecta, Diptera, Culicidae.
UUGUAAGGUCCACAUAGACUAGUGUGUUGGUUUUUUUUUGCUCCGAACUUUUGUUGUUGUUUUCCUCGCGUCGCACUCUUUCUCUCGUCUAAACUCUAUAUUUCCUUCGGGAGCUGUCAUAUAAAAAUUAUAUCAUCCAACUAGUUUUUUGUUGCGGGUGUCACGACGACCACGGUACGGAAAAAAAAGCUCGUGAUAAAAACAAGAUCCAGACUCACACCCACACGCGCACAGACACCUACAAGUGCGAGAUUGCACUUUGCGGUCGCCGGUCGUGUCACGCACGAGAGUUCCGCUGUCAUUCGAAUCGAACAGUUUGAUCGCUGGAAACGUCAAAUUCUCUCGCGUCAGUGCUGCCAACCUUAGCCCAAUCCAUCCGAGGAAGCCGUACGAAAUUUGGAGAGUGGACCAACUAGGGCUAGUUAUACGGCCAAUCAUCGCUAGUCAUGGCCUACUACUAGCGGCGAAGACCUACACACAGUUGUUGCACUUUAUUUUGUUUCGUUCGCCCGUUUCGUUUCGUCGUUCGCCUGCUUUGUUGUUGUUGUUGGUGUAUUGCUCUGUAGUUGUUGCAGUUGCAACUGCAAUUGCACACUCGGUCGGUCGGUCGUACGCGCGUAUAGUUCGGGGUUGUGCGGAGCUGCAGCAGCCAACACUAAAACAGUUGUGGUGAAGUUUUCGAAACGCCGAGAAGUGCAAAAACAGAGCGGCGCGCCGAGUUUUUCGCCGUUUUUUGUCGCGCCGCGCGCGAUUGUUUCCUCCGAAUGUGCCUUGCGCGUGUGUGUGAGUGUUUACUUCCUCCUGUGUCAACUGUCAACUGUGACAGCGAUCGUGCGUGACCGUGAAGCUUUGUGUUGACACACUGUGAAUCUGUGGUGAAUUUCGGGAAGAAGACCGUGACACGCGCGCUCCUCCAGCGAUCGCUGUAGUGGUGUAUGUGUGCAGUGGUGAAUACCCAUUCAACCCACCACUGUCCUUCACGCACACUAGCGUGCAAUGUGUUUAUGUGUGCGCGCGUAGCCUACUAGAUCAACAUGACGUUCGAUCGAUGCGUACACCACACUGCUGUGUGGUGAAUUCAAAGCAUACUCGCUCACACAUACGUGUGUUAGUGCUCCCGCUGUGUGCACCACUAAAUUGAUAACAAUUGAUUAUUUAUCGCCGCCGUCGGAGCGAUUCGGAAACGUCACUCCAUCGAAAACAAAAGAAAUCAACACCUGCUGCUGCAACAAUGUGAUCACACCAAUGCAUUCCAGCGACGACGCGACGCCACCGGAGUAGGCUGUUGCAUCAGUUCAAGAUUAUUUCACCAACACCCAGAAAAAACGACGCCCAGUAAUUUUACACUGUGAAGAACCAAGGAGAGAGAUAUAAACACAACAACAACAACAACAACAAAACAUAAUAAUCAAGUGCAAAGUGUCAACCAGUGUGCUACGUUGGCCGAAAUAAUAAAUAAUAAAAAAUAAUAAAGUGCAUAGAAAGAAGCAAGUGAGGGAGUGAAAAAAGGAGUAAAACGAGGAAGAUCGAGUGCUCGCGCUGGUAAUAUUCCAAUCCGUCCAUUCCAUUUCCCGGGUGUGCCCUGAAAAAUAGUGCGCGCUAGUUGUUGUACAUCACCAGAAUAUUAACGAAGG